This is a long non-coding RNA of Engraulis encrasicolus (European anchovy), 745 nucleotides long. RefSeq lists it as uncharacterized. The transcript has 3 exons. NCBI's taxonomy places the organism in Eukaryota, Metazoa, Chordata, Actinopteri, Clupeiformes, Engraulidae. The record is from RefSeq and is a predicted model, not a curated record.
UCGCUCCAUGGCUGAUCUCUCCCAUUGUGUGGUUCUUUGGUGAAAACUGGCUGGAAUGUUACUGACUUCUGCUGAAGUGGGCAGUUUGAGUUGGCCUUGUUGAGCAGUGAGCUCGCUACUCAUUAUCAUCCUACAGUUGCAGUGGAUUAUUUCACAGUUCCACUGGUCAAGGGAGAGUCGCUGUUCUGCUGCAACUGGGUUAGCGCCCGUCCAUGCUCCAUAUGCUCUUUGCUCUAUGUGCUAGGUGUUUGUGAUUUAGAUAGUAACAAGAUGUGCUAAAUGAUGAGUAGAUGUGACAACUAGUAGUUUUUAUCUGUGCUGUACAAUAUUUGGUCCAAUAGUACAUAGGCUAUCUUUGAGGGGAACCAAUCCUUCCAGUGUGUGUGUGUGCAGUGCAAGAAGAUGCUGUAAUAGUAGCCAAACAGCUUCAGAGGAACAGCAACUUUGUUUACUUUGUUUUUUUUGUUAAUUUCAAUUACUACUUCUGUGUGUUGCAUGUGGUUGUAUUCAUUUCUUUUGUGAUCGCUUGCUGUGUAUUACUCUUGCUUGCCCUCUUUGAGGCCCUGUAUAUUUGUACAUUUGAAAUUAUUGCUAUUUGCACAGAUCAUUGCAUGGUUGCUAACUCAUGUCAAGCAUUUGCCAUCUAAGAAUGAACAUGAGAUGCAUUUAAAAGGAGAAUACUGAAAAUAAAUACAAAGCACAUGGGACUCCUUUUUCUCUGUCUGUUCUUAACUGAUCCUGAGUG